GAUGAACGCUGGCGGCGUGCCUAAUACAUGCAAGUCGAGCGAACAGACGAGGAGCUUGCUCCUCUUACGUUAGCGUCGGACGGGUGAGUAACACGUGGAUAACCUACCUAUAAGACUGGGAUAACUUCGGGAAACCGGAGCUAAUACCGGAUAAUAUAUUGAACCGCAUGGUUCAAUAGUGAAAGACGGUUUUGCUGUCACUUAUAGAUGGAUCCGCGCCGCAUUAGCUAGUUGGUAAGGUAACGGCUUACCAAGGCGACGAUGCGUAGCCGACCUGAGAGGGUGAUCGGCCACACUGGAACUGAGACACGGUCCAGACUCCUACGGGAGGCAGCAGUAGGGAAUCUUCCGCAAUGGGCGAAAGCCUGACGGAGCAACGCCGCGUGAGUGAUGAAGGUCUUCGGAUCGUAAAGCUCUGUUAUUAGGGAAGAACAAAUGUGUAAGUAAAUAUGCACGUCUUGACGGUACCUAAUCAGAAAGCCACGGCUAACUACGUG
RNAcentral lists this ribosomal RNA (497 nucleotides) under uncultured bacterium. Its description in RNAcentral is "partial 16S ribosomal RNA". It matches the Rfam family "Bacterial small subunit ribosomal RNA", at positions 28 to 507 of the family's 1533-position model. The record is from RNAcentral.